Molecule: small RNA, 910 nt
Filed under: Pan troglodytes (chimpanzee)
Lineage: Eukaryota; Metazoa; Chordata; Mammalia; Primates; Hominidae
Description: retained intron
Source: RNAcentral
GCGGUCCGCCCACAGGUGGUAUCCCGAAGCCUAAUGAGCACCGCGAUCGGCGGGUCCCUGGAGUGCCGGGCGGCGGUGUCCGUCGCCUUCGCUGAAGUGGAGCGGCGGCUGCGCUCGGGUGGGGCGGCUCAAGCAGCGUUGCAGACGGAGCUGAGCGCUUGCGGGCCCCUGGGCCGCGCUGAAAACCAGGCGGAGCUGUUGGGGGCGCUGCAGGCACUGGUGGGAGGUGUAGUGCAGUAUGAUGGGCAGACGGGAGCGCCGCUAAGCGUGCGACAGCUCUGCGGACUUCUCCUCGGGGGCGGGGGCAACCGCAGCCACUCCACGCCCUACUGCGGGCUUCGUCGGGCGGUGCAGAUUGUCUUGCACAGCCUGGGCCAGAAGUGUUUAAGCUUUUCCCGAGCAGAGACAGUGGCACAGCUGAGGAGCACAGAACCUCAACUGUCUGGUGUGGGUGACCGGCAGUGGUUGUAUCAGACAUGUACCGAGUUCGGCUUCUGGGACACAGACCCCUGGCAUGUGCUAAGUGUAACACAGGCUUUAGGAUCCUCAGAAUCAACUCUUCUUAUCCGCACUGGCUCCCACUGCUUGGACAUGGCACCUGAGAGGCCCUCAGACUCCCCCAGCCUCCGCCUAGGGCGCCAGAACAUCUUCCAGCAGCUACAGACCUGGCUCAAGCUGGCAAAGGAGAGCCAGAUUAAGGGUGAAGUCUGAAUCUCAUACCCUUUCCACUCCCUGCAUGGUCACCUCAGUCCUGGACAUACUUGUUCACUGAACAAAAGAAAGCAGCUUGUUUUGAAAGAAGAAACUCCCAGGAAUUGGAAUUCAGCACCUGUUCCGCACGUAAUUGGCAUGUGUCUGCAAACAUCCUUAUUCCCAACUUAAAGUGCUUUAUUGCAGAGAGUUAUGGAAA